GACGAACGCUGGCGGCGCGCUUAACACAUGCAAGUCGAACGGAAAGGCCUGCUUUCCCUUGUGGAUUGCGGGUACUCGAGUGGCGAACGGGUGAGUAACACGUGAGUGAUCUGCCCCCAACUUGGGUAUAAGCCUGGGAAACUGGGUCUAAUUCCCGAUAGGACUGCAGGGUGGUGCCUGUGGUGGAAAACGAUUUUCUAGUGGUUGGGGAUGAGCUCGCGGCCUAUCAGCUUGUUGGUGGGGUAAUGGCCUACCAAGGCGGCGACGGGUAGCCGGCCUGAGAGGGUGGACGGCCACAUUGGGACUGAGAUACGGCCCAGACUCCUACGGGAGGCAGCAGUGGGGAAUAUUGCACAAUGGGCGGAAGCCUGAUGCAGCGACGCCGCGGGGGGGAUGACGGCCUUCGGGUGGUAAACUCCUUUCGACCGCGAGGAAGCCACCUGGUUGGAAGGGUGGUGACGGUAGUGGUAGAAGAAGCACCGGCUAACUACGUG
RNAcentral lists this ribosomal RNA (494 nucleotides) under uncultured bacterium. Its description in RNAcentral is "partial 16S ribosomal RNA". It matches the Rfam family "Bacterial small subunit ribosomal RNA", at positions 28 to 507 of the family's 1533-position model. The record is from RNAcentral.